RNAcentral lists this ribosomal RNA (549 nucleotides) under Aurapex penicillata. RNAcentral describes it as "eukaryotic LSU rRNA". It matches the Rfam family "Eukaryotic large subunit ribosomal RNA", at positions 56 to 629 of the family's 3401-position model. Lineage: Eukaryota; Fungi; Ascomycota; Sordariomycetes; Diaporthales; Cryphonectriaceae. The record is from RNAcentral.
GAAAAGAAACCAACAGGGAUUGCCCUAGUAACGGCGAGUGAAGCGGCAACAGCUCAAAUUUGAAAUCUGGCUUCGGCCCGAGUUGUAAUUUGCAGAGGAUGUUUCUGGCGCGGUGCCUUCCGAGUUCCCUGGAACGGGACGCCACAGAGGGUGAGAGCCCCGUAUGGUUGGACACCAAACCUGUGUGAAACUCCUUCGACGAGUCGAGUAGUUUGGGAAUGCUGCUCAAAAUGGGAGGUAAAUCUCUUCUAAAGCUAAAUACCGGCCAGAGACCGAUAGCGCACAAGUAGAGUGAUCGAAAGAUGAAAAGCACCUUGAAAAGGGGGUUAAACAGUACGUGAAAUUGUUGAAAGGGAAGCGCUUGUGACCAGACUUGCGCCGGGCGGUUCAUCCGGGGUUCUCCCCGGUGCACUCCGCCCGGCUCAGGCCAGCAUCGGUUUUCGUUGGGGGAUAAGAACGUCAGGAACGUGGCCCUCCUUCGGGUGGGUGUUAUAGCCUGGCGUACGAUACCCUGACGGGGACCGAGGUUCGCGCUCCCAAGGAUGCUGG